Molecule: ribosomal RNA, 430 nt
Filed under: uncultured bacterium
Lineage: Bacteria
Description: partial 16S ribosomal RNA
Rfam family: Bacterial small subunit ribosomal RNA
Source: RNAcentral
GUGGGGAAUAUUGCACAAUGGGCGAAAGCCUGAUGCAGCAACGCCGCGUGAGGGACGACGGCCUUCGGGUUGUAAACCUCUUUUAGUAGGGAAGAAGCGAAAGUGACGGUACCUGCAGAAAAAGCACCGGCUAACUACGUGCCAGCAGCCGCGGUAAUACGUAGGGUGCAAGCGUUAUCCGGAAUUAUUGGGCGUAAAGAGCUCGUAGGCGGUCUGUCGCGUCUGCUGUGAAAACUGGAGGCUCAACCGCCAGCCUGCAGUGGGUACGGGCAGACUAGAGUGCGGUAGGAGAGAUUGGAAUUCCUGGUGUAGCGGUGGAAUGCGCAGAUAUCAGGAGGAACACCGAUGGCGAAGGCAGAUCUCUGGGCCGUAACUGACGCUGAGGAGCGAAAGCGUGGGGAGCGAACAGGAUUAGAAACCCGGGUAGUCC